GCCGCCGUAGCGUAGCCUGGCAGCGCACAGGCCUGUGGAGCCUGGAGGCUGGGUUCAAAUCCCGGCGGCGGCC
Molecule: transfer RNA, 73 nt
Filed under: Candidatus Bathyarchaeota archaeon
Lineage: Archaea; Thermoproteati; Candidatus Bathyarchaeota
Description: tRNA-His
Rfam family: tRNA
About the family: Transfer RNA (tRNA) molecules are approximately 80 nucleotides in length. Their secondary structure includes four short double-helical elements and three loops (D, anti-codon, and T loops).
Source: RNAcentral